GUAAAAGGGACCAGCUAGCCUCCAAGCAGUAGCAGAGCUACAUUUUUUUACAUGGGGUGUCCACUGCUAUUUUAGGGGGUAAUCACACACACACACACAUACACACACACACAUACACACACACAUACACACACACACUGUACUCAAAUACAAAGAUACACACACACACACACACACACAUGAGAAUAAGGUGAAUAGACAAAAAUAAACAAAUUAUUUUAUAUUUUUCAGCUCAGCCUGUGAUCAUGGGAUUGCUACAAGACCAUCCAUCACCACCAUUAAGAAGAUCAGCGUUCAUGGUUAUCGAGGUUUUCUGGUGUGUGAAGAUUGUUUCCAUCUUAAUUCGGCUUAUUUUUUAAUUCCGACAUUAUCACAUUAUUUUCAUUAACUUGUUUUGAUUGUAUGACCUUUCUUCUGCGUGCCCCUGCAGAUGUUUGAAAGAAACUUGGCUGACGUGAAUGUGAGGGUCGAACUAUUCAGCAGAUUGGAAGGCAUUAAGGUAUUUUUCAACACUGGCCACAUGAUCAAAGUUGGUAACAAUUCCGGAAGAAGAUCUACAGACGGAUUUAUAUUUGAUGACAAUGAUAAAAUUAAUGCAGCAACAAUGUGGCAAGAAAAUAGAUAUUUUGAUGGAUUCACAUUUGAGGUCGCCAACAGUAAUGGUACAGUAAAAACAUAUUCUGCCAAGUGUACGGAUCUGUCUGAGCCUGUGAAGAUUGAUGUGAAGUCUGGAAAAUGUUACGGCAUUACAGCAAGAUGUGGAGAAAAAUGUACUCCAAGCGCUCGGAUUCUACUUCAUUUAGAUUCUCAGUAAUGAAAGUAAUAAUGCAGAGAUGAAAAUAUAGCAUAGUGUGAGAUUUGAAUCAAUAAAUAAUACUUGUACAUGUUUUCAAGCACACACAGAAUCAAAAAUUUGAGAUUUAUUGUAAUGUAACAAUGGUGGUUGUUAAAAAGGUGAAAAGCAAUUGAUAUUUGAUGUGUUUAAUGUGUUGUUUUUAAUUCAUUAAUUUAAUGGUUUCAUUUAAUCAAAUAAUCAUGUGUAUUUAUUAGUCAUUUAUAUAUGUUUAUUUGAUUAUUUUUGGAAUGUAAUUAUUUAGAUCAAUUAUUUUGGUUAUUUAAAGUCUACAUAAACUGGAAGUUGUUGAUGCUUUUCAGUGUGUUGAUGUACUUCAGACUAAAACAGAAUAUUGAGUAGGGGCAGGGCUUUCUUUUUGCAAAUAAUUUGAAUUUUACGGUAUCACCCUAUGAAAGGGGCUAGUCUCUUUAAGCAAACUAACAGUAAGAGUGGUGCGGUUAAGAAUAUUGUAGGGGGAAAAAAUCAGAGAAUUAACUUGUUCACAUAAAUAACAUAAUAAUGUGUGGUUGCAAAAUAAGCAUUGUUAAUUUUGAUUUCAGAUGACUUUGCACAAUGUACAAUGUAAUGUAAUGUCAAUGGACAAUGUUGCAAAGCAAUAAUUGUCCAUUGCUAUUGCUUAUGGUAUAAUAAAACUACUGAUCAAAGGGAAACAUAAAGGCUAACCAAGAUUUAAUAAACACUUUUUUAAUCAUC
Molecule: long non-coding RNA, 1549 nt
Filed under: Danio rerio (zebrafish)
Lineage: Eukaryota; Metazoa; Chordata; Actinopteri; Cypriniformes; Danionidae
Description: lncRNA (ENSDARG00000117745.1)
Source: RNAcentral